This is a long non-coding RNA of Eptesicus fuscus (big brown bat), 401 nucleotides long. RefSeq lists it as uncharacterized. The record is from RefSeq and is a predicted model, not a curated record. NCBI's taxonomy places the organism in Eukaryota, Metazoa, Chordata, Mammalia, Chiroptera, Vespertilionidae. The transcript is spliced from 4 exons.
CCUAAGAGGAGGCUCAGCCCCCGCCCUCCACCACAUACCAAGACAACAACAUUUGGGGAAAGGCCCCAGGGAUGGCUGAGGAGGAAGAGCUCAUGGGACAGAGGGUUGUUGCGAGGAUUAAAUGUGAUGGCAUAUACAAAAAGAUGCUCCAUACACUAGCAAGUGCGAGGUGAUCCCAGAUACAGCAAGGAGAAUGACAACAGAGGAUGAGGCCCCUGAGACCAGACAGACAAGAGGCAGCCCAAGAGAGGGAGUUAUUUAUAGAGCGAGUGGCAGCCACUGAUGGAGAGGGAUGGCUGGUUACCUUGGAGAGCAACUGAGCCAGGAAGGGGGAGCUGGAGAAAUGUACUCGUCCUGCUGGAUGUCUAGCAUGAUCUCCAGUCCAUUGCCCGUCCCACCCU